This 420-nucleotide ribosomal RNA is filed under the name uncultured soil bacterium. RNAcentral's name for it is "bacterial SSU rRNA". It matches the Rfam family "Bacterial small subunit ribosomal RNA", at positions 26 to 441 of the family's 1533-position model. The record is from RNAcentral.
AGAUUGAACGCUGGCGGCAUGCCUUACACAUGCAAGUCGAACGGCAGCACGGGAGCAAUCCUGGUGGCGAGUGGCGAACGGGUGAGUAAUACGUCGGAACGUGCCUAGUAGUGGGGGAUAGCCCGGCGAAAGCCGGAUUAAUACCGCAUACGACCUACGGGUGAAAGCGGGGGAUCGCAAGACCUCGCGCUAUUGGAGCGGCUGAUGUCAGAUUAGGUAGUUGGUAGGUAAAAGCCUACCAAGCCGACGAUCUGUAGCUGGUCUGAGAGGACGACCAGCCACACGUGGGACUGAGACACGGCCCAGACUCCUACGGGAGCAGCAGUGGGAAUUUGGACAAGUGGGCGCAAGCCUGAUCCAGCCAUCGCCGCGUGACGGGAACGAACGGGCCGUUACGGGUUAGUAAACCGUCGUUUUUGU